This 493-nucleotide ribosomal RNA is filed under the name uncultured bacterium. RNAcentral describes it as "partial 16S ribosomal RNA". It matches the Rfam family "Bacterial small subunit ribosomal RNA", at positions 28 to 506 of the family's 1533-position model. The record is from RNAcentral.
GACGAACGCUGGCGGCGUGCUUAACACAUGCAAGUCGAACGGAAAGGCCUGCUUUCCCUUGUGGAUUGCGGGUACUCGAGUGGCGAACGGGUGAGUAACACGUGAGUGAUCUGCCCCCAACUUGGGUAUAAGCCUGGGAAACUGGGUCUAAUUCCCGAUAGGACUGCAGGGUGGUGCCUGUGGUGGAAAACGAUUUUCUAGUGGUUGGGGAUGAGCUCGCGGCCUAUCAGCUUGUUGGUGGGGUAAUGGCCUACCAAGGCGGCGACGGGUAGCCGGCCUGAGAGGGUGGACGGCCACAUUGGGACUGAGAUACGGCCCAGACGCCUACGGGAGGCAGCAGUGGGGAAUAUUGCACAAUGGGCGGAAGCCUGAUGCAGCGACGCCGCGUGGGGGAUGACGGCCUUCGGGUUGUAAACUCCUUUCGACCGCGAGGAAGCCACCUGGUUGGAAGGGUGGUGACGGUAGUGGUAGAAGAAGCACCGGCUAACUACGU